GGGGCUGUGGCUCAGUGGUAGAGCACUUGCCUAGCAUGUGUGAGGCACUCGGUUCAAUUCUCAGCACCA
This is a non-coding RNA of Ictidomys tridecemlineatus (thirteen-lined ground squirrel), 69 nucleotides long. The record is from Rfam. Lineage: Eukaryota; Metazoa; Chordata; Mammalia; Rodentia; Sciuridae.